AUUGAACGCUGGCGGCGUGCCUAACACAUGCAAGUCGAUCGGUAACAGGUGUAGCAAUACAUGCUGACGAGAGGCGGACGGGUGAGUAACGCUUGGGAAUCUGCCUAUUAGUGGGGGACAACCCGGGGAAACUCGGGCUAAUACCGCAUACGCUCUACGGAGGAAAGCCGGGGACCGCAAGGCCUGGCGCUAAUAGAUGAGCCCAAGUCGGAUUAGCUAGUUGGUAGGGUAAUGGCCUACCAAGGCGACGAUCCGUAGCUGGUCUGAGAGGACGACCAGCCACACUGGGACUGAGACACGGCCCAGACUCCUACGGGAGGCAGCAGUGGGGAAUAUUGGACAAUGGGGGAAACCCUGAUCCAGCGACGCCGCGUGGGUGAAGAAGGCCUGCGGGUUGUAAAGCCCUUUCGGUGGGGAAGAAAAGCCUCGACCUAACACGUCGGGGUAUUGACGUAACCCACAAAAGAAGCACCGGCUAACUCUGUGCCAGCAGCCG
Molecule: ribosomal RNA, 496 nt
Filed under: uncultured bacterium
Lineage: Bacteria
Description: bacterial SSU rRNA
Rfam family: Bacterial small subunit ribosomal RNA
Source: RNAcentral